Molecule: ribosomal RNA, 422 nt
Filed under: uncultured archaeon
Lineage: Archaea
Description: bacterial SSU rRNA
Rfam family: Archaeal small subunit ribosomal RNA
Source: RNAcentral
GGAGACUGCCGAACUUGGGACCGGGAGAGGCUAGAGGUACUUCUGGGGUAGGGGUAAAAAUCCUGUAAUCCUAGAAGGACCACCGGUGGCGAAGGCGUCUAGCUAGAACGGAUCCGACGGUGAGGGACGAAGCCCUGGGUCGCAAACGGGAUUAGAUACCCCGGUAGUCCAGGGUGUAAACGCUGCAGACUUGGUGUUGGAGGCCCUUUGGGGGCAUCCAGUGCCGGAGAGAAGUUGUUAAGUCUGCUACUUGGGGAGUACGUCCGCAAGGAUGAAACUUAAAGGAAUUGGCGGGGGAGCACCGCAAACCGGGAGGAGCGUGCGGUUUAAUUGGAUUCAACACCGUAAAACUCACCAGGGAAGACUGUUACAUGAAGGCCGGGCUAAAGACUCUGCCAGAUUUUCAGAGUAGAGGUGCAUGG